GCCCUUGUAGCUCAGCUGGUAGAGCGCCUGAUUUGUAAUCAGGAGGUAAUAGGUUCGAGUCCUGUCGGGGGCA
This 73-nucleotide transfer RNA is filed under the name Candidatus Liberibacter solanacearum. RNAcentral describes it as "tRNA-Thr". It matches the Rfam family "tRNA". Rfam says of the family: Transfer RNA (tRNA) molecules are approximately 80 nucleotides in length. Their secondary structure includes four short double-helical elements and three loops (D, anti-codon, and T loops). Further hydrogen bonds mediate the characteristic L-shaped molecular structure. tRNAs have two regions of fundamental functional importance: the anti-codon, which is responsible for specific mRNA codon recognition, and the 3' end, to which the tRNAs corresponding amino acid is attached (by aminoacyl-tRNA synthetases). tRNAs cope with the degeneracy of the genetic code in two manners: having more than one tRNA (with a specific anti-codon) for a particular amino acid; and 'wobble' base-pairing, i.e. permitting non-standard base-pairing at the 3rd anti-codon position. Lineage: Bacteria; Pseudomonadati; Pseudomonadota; Alphaproteobacteria; Hyphomicrobiales; Rhizobiaceae. The record is from RNAcentral.